AUGGACCAAGACAAGAGGACCAAGCCCUACAAUGUGAAGGAUGGAUUCCAGGGUCCCAUGGCAACAAGACCCCUCUCAGGCGGGAGCAGCAACCCCAGGGGCUCUGAAGAAGUGGUUACAGCUCUCAGGGGUGCAAAAUGGGAAGAAGGAGACGUAGACCCGCUGUUGACCCUCAAUCAGCACGGUUUCCCAAGCCCCUUUCCCCCCAGUUACUACCCUUGCUCUGACUUCCUCAUACCCUGCCCGGCCCCCUCCCCCAAUUUCUAGGAGCUAGAGAGCCAGCAUAUUAUGGAUGAUCAGGUUCCCCGUCAAGCCCAGGCUUGUUCUGGAGGAGAAACUGAGGACUUGACUUGGGACUUCACCUGCACUCCGGGGGGACGGAGGCCCUAGCCUGUCCUUCCCUUGGGGUCACACUUGAACUCAAUUAAAAUGGUGUGUAUGACUCUUCUGGAGGAAGGCUAGUCUUUGACUGGGAAUUUUUUUUGUCUUUUUCUUUUUAAAUUUAUUUUUAUUUUUAUUGUUUAUUACUCAAUGAAUUUAUUACAUUUAUAGUUGUACAAUGAUAAUCACCAUCUAAUUUUAUAGGAUGACUGGGAAUUUCUUAAGAGCAGGGAAGAGUGAGAGGGAACCGGGCCUCUUCUCUUCAUCACUCUUUGGUUCUUCUCGCCCUGCUCCAGGCCUCCGCCAGGAUCCAAAGCCUUCCUCCUUUACCAUCCAGGUGGAAGCCAGCUCUGUAAGGAGGAGUGAGGCCUGCUUAGCCUGCAGCUUUGAGCCUGUUCUGGAAGUUCUGUUCCAGCCAGAGGGAUCUGAGCAGUCAACCAAGCUUUUUAAAGAAAGUUAGUUUGUUUCUUAAAACUUUUCACAUUAAAAGACCCAAAAAACUUGUUAGAAGAGAAGGCGAGAGAGUAGGAAGGUAGUAGAAGACACAAGGUCCACUGAUGGGCCUUUUGUUUUGGCAUAAAAGCCUUGAGAACACAGAGCCGGUGGACCAGAGACACGUAAGAUACAGGGAAGAAAAAAGUUAAUGAUGGCAGC
Molecule: long non-coding RNA, 1035 nt
Filed under: Sus scrofa (pig)
Lineage: Eukaryota; Metazoa; Chordata; Mammalia; Artiodactyla; Suidae
Description: lncRNA (ENSSSCG00015048638.1)
Source: RNAcentral